Molecule: ribosomal RNA, 273 nt
Filed under: uncultured bacterium
Lineage: Bacteria
Description: partial 16S ribosomal RNA
Rfam family: Bacterial small subunit ribosomal RNA
Source: RNAcentral
UACGUAGGGUGCAAGCGUUAAUCGGAAUUACUGGGCGUAAAGCGUGCGCAGGCGGUUUUUCAAGACCGAUGUGAAAUCCCCGGGCUUAACCUGGGAAUGGCAUUGGUGACUGGAAGGCUAGAGUGUGUCAGAGGGGGGUAGAAUUCCACGUGUAGCAGUGAAAUGCGUAGAGAUGUGGAGGAAUACCGAUGGCGAAGGCAGCCCCCUGGGAUAACACUGACGCUCAGGCACGAAAGCGUGGGGAGCAAACAGGAUUAGAAACCCCCGUAGUCC